UCGGGAAUUUUGGGCAAUGGGCGCAAGCCUGAUCCAGCCAUGCCGCGUGGAUGAUGAAGGCCUUAGGGUUGUAAAGCUCUUUUGGCGGGGACGAUAAUGACGGUACCCGCAGAAUAAGCCCCGGCUAACUUCGUGCCAGCAGCCGCGGUAAUACGAAGGGGGCUAGCGUUGUUCGGAAUUACUGGGCGUAAAGCGCACGUAGGCGGAUUUGUCAGUCAGGGGUGAAAUCCCGAGGCUCAACCUCGGAACUGCCUCCGAUACAGCAAGUCUCGAGUCCGGAAGAGGUGAGUGGAAUUCCUAGUGUAGAGGUGAAAUUCGUAGAUAUUAGGAAGAACACCAGUGGCGAAGGCGGCUCACUGGUCCGGUACUGACGCUGAGGUGCGAAAGCGUGGGGAGCAAACAGGAUUAGAUACCCCCGUAGUCCCUGAGCGGGCUGGCAAGGCGCAU
RNAcentral lists this ribosomal RNA (447 nucleotides) under uncultured bacterium. RNAcentral's name for it is "bacterial SSU rRNA". It matches the Rfam family "Bacterial small subunit ribosomal RNA", at positions 355 to 825 of the family's 1533-position model. The record is from RNAcentral.